GAGAAUCCUGUCCACCGAAUGACUAAGGUUUCCUGGGGAAGGCUCGUCCGCCCAGGGUUAGUCGGGACCUAACCGAGGCCGACAGGCGUAGGCGAUGGAUAACAGGUUGAUAUUCCUGUACCCGUUGUUUUUGUUUGAGCAAUGGAGGGACGCAGGAGGCUAAGGAAUGCAGACGAUCGGAAAUGUCUGUCCAAGCAGUAAGUCUGAAGAGGAGUCAAAUGCUUCUUUUCUUAGGG
RNAcentral lists this ribosomal RNA (236 nucleotides) under Enterococcus faecium. Its description in RNAcentral is "partial 23S ribosomal RNA". It matches the Rfam family "Bacterial large subunit ribosomal RNA", at positions 1323 to 1556 of the family's 2925-position model. Lineage: Bacteria; Bacillati; Bacillota; Bacilli; Lactobacillales; Enterococcaceae. The record is from RNAcentral.